GCAUGCCAAGUAUUAAAGGCACUGCCUGCCCAGUGACAUCUGUUCAACGGCCGCGGUAUCCUAACCGUGCAAAGGUAGCAUAAUCACUUGUUCCCUAAAUAGGGACCUGUAUGAAUGGCUACACGAGGGUUUUACUGUCUCUUACUUCCAAUCAGUGAAAUUGACCUUCCCGUGAAGAGGCGGGAAUAUUUCAAUAAGACGAGAAGACCCUAUGGAGCUUCAAUUAACUAACUCAAUAAAGACAAACUACAGUCUACUCAGACAUAACCACUCUUUAUUUGAGCUAGCAAUUUAGGUUGGGGUGACCUCGGAGCACAAAAAACCCUCCGAGUGAUAAAAGUAUAGACUAACAAGUCAAAGCACCACAUCACUUAUUGAUCCAAAUUUUGAUCAACGGAACAAGUUACCCUAGGGAUAACAGCGCAAUCCUAUUUAAGAGUUCAUAUCGACAAUAGGGUUUACGACCUCGAUGUUGGAUCAGGACAUCCUAAUGGUGCAGAAGCUAUUAACGGUUCGUUGGUCACGAUUAAAGUCCU
RNAcentral lists this ribosomal RNA (536 nucleotides) under Hipposideros coxi (Cox's roundleaf bat). Its description in RNAcentral is "partial 16S ribosomal RNA". It matches the Rfam family "Bacterial large subunit ribosomal RNA", at positions 1834 to 2597 of the family's 2925-position model. The record is from RNAcentral. Lineage: Eukaryota; Metazoa; Chordata; Mammalia; Chiroptera; Hipposideridae.